ACCCACCACAACCACCACUACAGCCAAGCCACCCCCCACCACACCAAAACCCACCACAACCACCACUACAGCCAAGCCACCCCCCACCACACCAAAACCCACCACAACCACCACUACCACGAAGUCAACACGCAUUGCAACCAGCACAACAGCCAAGCUAGUACCCACCACACCAAAACCCAGCACAACUAUGGCCAAGCCAAAACCCGCCACACCAAAACCCACCACAACUAUGGCCAAGCCAAAACCCACCACAACCACCACUACAGCCAAGCCACCACCCACCACACCAAAACCCACCACAAACUGUGGCUAAGCCAAAACCUGCCACAGCUACAGCCAAGCCAACACCCACCACACCAACAUCUACCACCGCUACAGCCAAGCCAACACCUGCCGCUGCAACAUCAGCAAAGCCAAAACUCGCCACUACAACACCAGCACCUACCACAACAGCAAAGACACAACCAAAAACUGCCACAACCACAAAGCCAGAGCCCACUGAAACAGAAAGACCCAAUCCUACUGAGGCAACUGGGCUAACUCUUUCCUUUGAGCCCACGUUAGAUGUGGAUUACACAGUAUCUCCAGAAGUAGAGGUAGACACUGGAGAGACUGUUAGCCCCUUAACUACAGAGGAUCCGGCCUUAUUAGGAAGCAUGGGCACAACCUUCAGCCCCAAAUCAGUCCCAGAAACAAAGAAAGGUGUGAAAGAGGACGGGAAAGAGAAAUCAGCCUCUUCCAGUCCACCUCCAUCCCUCAGCCAAAUUGUUCCAGAGAUCAAGUUAGGUUUCAAUAAAGCUGAGCUCAUAACCCCCUCAAAGUCAGUGGUUUUCAGCCCUGAAGAGCCUACCUUCUUGCGCUUAACAUCAUCUUCCAAAGAAAAAAAAGGGCAGAGCCCUGCUUUCCAGACCUCCCUCUCAGCAGGUUCCCCGGACACUGAAGAACUGGAGACAAACUCAGACCAGACAAGCAUGGAUCAGCCCACGGCUCGAGCCCCCAGUACCUGCCUGGGGCUUUCACUCUUCCUCCUACCCAGUGUCAUCC
This 1047-nucleotide long non-coding RNA is filed under the name Aquila chrysaetos chrysaetos. RNAcentral describes it as "lncRNA (ENSACCG00020015411.1)". The record is from RNAcentral. Lineage: Eukaryota; Metazoa; Chordata; Aves; Accipitriformes; Accipitridae.